This 253-nucleotide ribosomal RNA is filed under the name uncultured bacterium. Its description in RNAcentral is "partial 16S ribosomal RNA". It matches the Rfam family "Bacterial small subunit ribosomal RNA", at positions 524 to 776 of the family's 1533-position model. The record is from RNAcentral.
UACGGAGGGGGCUAGCGUUGUUCGGAAUUACUGGGCGUAAAGCGCACGUAGGCGGUCUGUUAAGUCGGGGGUGAAAUCCUGGGGCUCAACCUCAGAAUUGCCUCCGAUACUGGCAGUCUCGAGUGCGGGAGAGGUGAGUGGAAUUCCCAGUGUAGAGGUGAAAUGCGUAGAUAUCGGGAGGAACACCAGUGGCGAAGGCGACUACCUGGCCUGUUCUUGACGCUGAGGCGCGAAAGCUAGGGGAGCAAACGGG